RNAcentral lists this non-coding RNA (100 nucleotides) under Paenibacillus sp. RNAcentral describes it as "Guanine sequence". It matches the Rfam family "Purine riboswitch aptamer". Rfam says of the family: Riboswitches are metabolite binding domains within certain messenger RNAs that serve as precision sensors for their corresponding targets. Allosteric rearrangement of mRNA structure is mediated by ligand binding, and this results in modulation of gene expression. A class of riboswitches that selectively recognises guanine and becomes saturated at concentrations as low as 5 nM. RNAcentral also lists the same sequence under 1 other name. Lineage: Bacteria; Bacillati; Bacillota; Bacilli; Caryophanales; Paenibacillaceae. The record is from RNAcentral.
AUAAAGCACAACAACAUAUUUCGUAUAAUUCCGAGAAUAGGCUUGGAAGUCUCUACGAGGUCACCAUAAUGACCUGGCUACGAUUAUAAAAGAAACUCAC